CGAGCACGCGCGUGUGGCAUAUCAAUAAGCGGAGGAAAAGAAACUAACAAGGAUUCCCUUAGUAACGGCGAGUGAAGCGGGAAGAGCUCAAAUUUGAAAUCUUCAAGGUUCUACCAUGACGAAUUGUAGUUUAUAGAAGUGUUUUCUGUUAGUAGGAGUGGCAAAAGUUCUUUGGAAUAGGACAUCAUAGAGGGUGAGAAUCCCGUAUUUGGUCAUUCCUCCUAGCGUUGUGAUACACUUUCAACGAGUCGGAUUGUUUGGGAAUGCAGUCCAAAAUGGGUGGUAAUAUUCCAUCUAAAGCUAAAUAUUGGCGAGAGACCGAUAGCGAACAAGUACCGUGAGGGAAAGAUGAAAAGAACUUUGAAAAGAGAGUUAAACAGGGUACGUGAAAUUGUCAAAAGGGAAGCGUUUGACACCAGUGUUGUUUUUCCGAAAAUCAAUUACAAAUGUUUUGUUUUUGAGGAGUUAUGACUUCAUCGGCUUGCUUCUCUCUUUAUGAAACUUUCUUAAUGCACUUUUCGGUUAACAAGUCAACAUCAAUUUCUUUUGUUGUAAAAGGGUAUGAGGAAGGUGGCUUUCUUUUCGGAGAAAGUGUUUAUAGCCUUGUGCCUCUGCAAUCGGAGAGAUUGAGGUCUGCAGCGUAGAUCCUUCGGGGUUAGAUACGUUUGUGCUAAGUUAUAGCUUUUCAUAGACAACUUGUUGACUAUGUUAAGUCUUGUAGCUUACUCGCUUACGCUAUUUUACCUACGCUUAGGAUGUUGAUGUGAUACUGCGAGCA
This 778-nucleotide ribosomal RNA is filed under the name uncultured Neocallimastigales. Its description in RNAcentral is "partial large subunit ribosomal RNA". It matches the Rfam family "Eukaryotic large subunit ribosomal RNA", at positions 19 to 646 of the family's 3401-position model. The record is from RNAcentral. Lineage: Eukaryota; Fungi; Neocallimastigomycota; Neocallimastigomycetes; Neocallimastigales.